Molecule: ribosomal RNA, 441 nt
Filed under: uncultured bacterium
Lineage: Bacteria
Description: partial 16S ribosomal RNA
Rfam family: Bacterial small subunit ribosomal RNA
Source: RNAcentral
CCUCCGCGCGGCAUCAGUCGGGACUAUUGCGCCAUGGAGGAAACUCUGACGCAGUGCCUCCGCGUGCAGGAAGAAGGUUUUCGGAUUGUAAACUACUUUAGACAGGGCAGAAAAAAGACAGUACCUGUAGAAUAAGCUCCGGCUAACUACGUGCCAGCAGCCGCGGUAAUACGUAGGGAGCAAGCGUUAUCCGGAUUUAUUUGGUGUAAAGGGUGCGUAGACGGAGAAGCAAGUUCGUUGUGAAAUCCCUCGGCUUAACUGAGGAACUGCAACUAAAACUACUUCCCUUGAGUACUGGAGAGGAAAGUGGAAUUCCAAGUGUAGCGGUGAAAUGCGUAGAUAUUAGGAGGAACACCAGGGGCGAAGGCGACUUUCUGGACAGUAACGGACGUUGAGGCACGAAAGUGUGGGGAGCAAACAGGAUUAGAUACCCGGGUAGUC